CCAAAUGCUAUGAUCAGAAAAGUAAACCAAUAGCUUUCUUUACAGAGAGGAGACAUCAUUGGCUGGAAGUGUCUCUAAGAAAGGAUUGGUUGAAGUGCAUCUGUGAGCUUCAUGCCUGAUAAUUAGUAGGGUAUGACGGUUAGUGAACCGUUAAAAGACUAUUGAGGGAAUCAGGUUGACUUUAGUAAGUCAGUCUGGUUAAAAUCAGAGUGGAACCGCGGACCUUUCGCCUCUGUA
Molecule: non-coding RNA, 237 nt
Filed under: Halobacteroidaceae bacterium
Lineage: Bacteria; Bacillati; Bacillota; Clostridia; Halanaerobiales; Halobacteroidaceae
Description: T-box sequence
Rfam family: T-box leader
About the family: Uncharged tRNA acts as the effector for transcription antitermination of genes in the T-box leader family. T-boxes are found upstream of many aminoacyl-tRNA synthetase genes and some amino acid biosynthetic genes usually in Gram-positive bacteria.
Source: RNAcentral